Molecule: ribosomal RNA, 1601 nt
Filed under: Salmonella enterica
Lineage: Bacteria; Pseudomonadati; Pseudomonadota; Gammaproteobacteria; Enterobacterales; Enterobacteriaceae
Description: partial 23S ribosomal RNA
Rfam family: Bacterial large subunit ribosomal RNA
Source: RNAcentral
CGCGUUGUAGUCGAAGGGCAUUGAAAGGCCCGGCACAGAGGGUGCUACCCCCGUAGACGAAACGAUGCGCACUCCAGAGAAGUAUCCCAAGUAGCACGGGGCCCGAGAAAUCCCGUGUGAAUCUGGCGGGACCACCCGCUAAGCCUAAAUAUUCCCUGGUGACCGAUAGCGGACAAGUACCGUGAGGGAAAGGUGAAAAGUACCCCGGGAGGGGAGUGAAAUAGAUCCUGAAACCGUGUGCCUACAAUCCGUCGGAGCCUCCUUGUGGGGUGACGGCGUGCCUUUUGAAGAAUGAGCCUGCGAGUUAGUGCUCAGUGGCGAGGUUAACCCGUGUGGGGAAGCCGUAGCGAAAGCGAGUCCGAAUAGGGCGUUUUAGUCGCUGGGUCUAGACCCGAAGCGGAGUGAUCUACCCAUGGCCAGGUUGAAGCGACGGUAAGACGUCGUGGAGGACCGAACCCACUUAGGUUGAAAACUGAGGGGAUGAGCUGUGGGUAGGGGUGAAAGGCCAAUCAAACUCCGUGAUAGCUGGUUCUCCCCGAAAUGCAUUUAGGUGCAGCGUCACGUGUUUCUUACCGGAGGUAGAGCUACUGGAUAGCUGAUGGGCCUCACCAGGUUACUGACGUUAGCCAAACUCCGAAUGCCGGUAAGUGAGAGCGUGGCAGUGAGACUGCGGGGGAUAAGCUCCGUAGUCGAGAGGGAAACAGCCCAGACCACCAUCUAAGGUCCCUAAGCGUGUGCUAAGUGGGAAAGGAUGUGGAGUUGCAUUGACAACCAGGAGGUUGGCUUAGAAGCAGCCACCCUUUAAAGAGUGCGUAAUAGCUCACUGGUCAAGUGAUUCCGCGCCGACAAUGUAGCGGGGCUCAAGCACACCACCGAAGCUGUGGCAUUGACACACUGCUCGGCCAGUUUUCCUGCGGGGUUCUGGUCCAGGCGUGUUGAUGGGUAGGGGAGCGUCGUGUGGCCAGGGAAGCGGCGGAGUGAUCCAGCCGUGGAGGCCACACGAGUGAGAAUGCAGGCAUGAGUAGCGAAUGACGGGCGAGAAACCCGUCCGCCGAAUAACCAAGGGUUCCAGGGUCAAGCUAAUCUGCCCUGGGUAAGUCGGGACCUAAGGCGAGGCCGACAGGCGUAGUCGAUGGACAUCCGGUUGAUAUUCCGGAACCGGCGAAGAACCGCCCAUGACGAACCUAGUGAUGCUAAACGCCCAAAGCUGUUGUCCAAGACCUUCGGGUUGAGGGUUUCAGUGGAGCGCGUGACCCGAUCUAGUAGUAGUCAAGCGAUGGAGAGACGCAGGAAGGUAGCCUCCGCGUGGCGAUGGUAGUCCACGUCCAAGGGUGUAGGGCGAGCUGUAGGCAAAUCCGCAGCUCACAUAGCCUGAGACCUGAUAGUGACCGCGUAUGCGGGAAGCAGGGUGAUCCUAUGCUGCCAAGAAAAUCUUCUAGCGAGGUUCGAGCCGCCCGUACCCCAAACCGACUCAGGUGGUUAGGUAGAGAAUACCAAGGCGAUCGAGUGAAUCGUGGUUAAGGAAUUCGGCAAAAUACCCCCGUAACUUCGGGAGAAGGGGGGCCCAGAGGGUGAAGGCACUUGCUGCCUAGCCUGAACGG